UGUUUUUGUUUCUCACAAUAAUAUUGAACCAACUUGUCGUUACUACAGAAUGAGUGAAAAGCAAUGAAAGAGCAAAGGCAGACAGACCUGUGUGCUUAGCCAGAGCCAUGCUUUGUCAUUUUAUCAUAGAGAUCAUGUCAGCUGGCGGCAGCAUGAGUAAUCUAAGCUUCAAACAAUAUCAUCCUGCAGAUAAAUCAAUGAACACAGACAGAAACAAGCUAAGUCUAUUUUAGACAGCCUAAUGAUCAGCAGUUUUUUCUAAUAGCUUGUCAGACUUCAACCUGUCAAGCCUGAAGAUUUAGGGACACCGAUUCACUGGAGAUUUCCUGAUUGCAUUCCUGCUGGGCUAUCUGUGAAUCACAAUAGGAGACUCCUAGGAAAGGGGAGAAAAUGGAUCGCCUUCAGGCCUUUAUGAGGCACAGGUUAUUGUAAUGCCUCAACUAAAUCCUAAUUACUCUGAUUAACAAUGCAAGCCUGUCACUGCUCAUGCAUAAUAGUGAAAAAGUUUGCAGUAAUGACUAUGAAAUUCUGCUACUUCGGCUCAGGCCUCCACACGUGCCUUACUGGGGCUUUGUGGGCCCUGCGUGCCAUUCACCCAGCUGCUGUUUCCAAAAUAAGGGGGUUGCCAGGGUGAGCUCCAUUUGCAAUGCAGACCAGACCUGAACAUACUUGGUGAGAUCAGCUGGCUCACAAGAUGGGCUGCAGGGUUUGAAACGUUUUGAGAAGUUACUGGGCCUGCAGAUCAGAUUUCUUGCUGCUUCAUAUUAAUUUUCCUGUUAAAAUCAAAGGCCUAUGGAGCAGUUGCAAAGUGCCAAAAGCUAUGGGGAAGCCUGCAUUACAUCAGCAAGCUGUGUACUGACCUUCUGAGCCAGCCCACAGGGAAGAACAACAGGAGGGAGAUUGCAGAGGCAGAUAGGACUACUUAAGUAGCAAUUCAUUGUGAACCACUUUUCUAAGCUGUUGAUAGAAGCAUCAAGUGUGAGAGAGGAAGGGGACUUAUCUUCUUGCCCAAGCAGAACCCUAAUGACUCCAUAAUGACUGCUAAAUAAUGUUGCCAAUAAUCUCCAUUUAAUUAUACAGCUCUAGUAAGUCCUAAAAAGGAAAGAAAACACAAAAGGCGUCUGCAGUCCUAACAGAUCCAGCAGCUCCUCAGCCUAGUUCUGUAAAAUGCAUGUGGGUAUGUAGUAGGACUUAUCUCCUGGAAGAGAAUUGCCAUCCUUCAUCUCAUCUCAAAUAGUCACUCAUGGGAAAUAAAUUUGCUCAGCUCUUGACGCAGCGAUCAAUAAA
Molecule: long non-coding RNA, 1287 nt
Organism: Passer domesticus (house sparrow)
Lineage: Eukaryota; Metazoa; Chordata; Aves; Passeriformes; Passeridae
Exons: 2
Source: RefSeq, a predicted model, not a curated record